AGGACGAACGCUGGCGGCGUGCUUAACACAUGCAAGUCGAGCGGAAAGGCCCUUCGGGGUACUCGAGCGGCGAACGGGUGAGUAACACGUGGGCAAUCUGCCCCUCGCUCUGGGAUAACUCCGGGAAACCGGGGCUAAUACCGGAUAUGACCUUCUUAGGCAUCUUUGAAGGUGGAAAGUUUUUCGGCGAGGGAUGAGCCCGCGGCCUAUCAGCUUGUUGGUGGGGUAAUGGCCUACCAAGGCAGUGACGGGUAGCCGGCCUGAGAGGGCGACCGGCCACGACUGGGACUGAGACACGGCCCAGACUCCUACGGGAGGCAGCAGUGGGGAAUAUUGCGCAAUGGGCGGAAGCCUGACGCAGCGACGCCGCGUGAGGGAUGACGGCCUUCGGGUUGUAAACCUCUUUCAGCUCUGACGAAGCGAGAGUGACGGUAGGAGCAGAGAAGCACCGGCCAACUACGUGCCAGCAGCCGC
RNAcentral lists this ribosomal RNA (474 nucleotides) under uncultured bacterium. Its description in RNAcentral is "SSU rRNA". It matches the Rfam family "Bacterial small subunit ribosomal RNA", at positions 26 to 518 of the family's 1533-position model. The record is from RNAcentral.